CCCUUAGAUGUCCUGGGCUGCACGCGCGCUACACUGAUGUGUCCAGUAAGCACCUAACCUCUUCCGAAAGGAACGGGUAACCUUUGCAAAGCACAUCGUGAUGGGGAUAGAUUAUUGCAAUUAUUAGUCGUGAACGAGGAAUUCCUAGUAAGCACAAGUCAUCAGCUUGUGUUGAUUACGUCCCUGCCCUUUGUACACACCGCCCGUCGCUCCUACCGAUUGAAUGUUCCGGUGAGCUCUUCGGACUGCGCGGUCUGCAGUUUCUGCGUUCCGUGCGGAAAGUUGCGCAAACCUUAACAUUUAGAGGAAGGAGAAGUCGUAACA
Molecule: ribosomal RNA, 324 nt
Filed under: uncultured eukaryote
Lineage: Eukaryota
Description: partial 18S ribosomal RNA
Rfam family: Eukaryotic small subunit ribosomal RNA
Source: RNAcentral